CUGCUGCCUCCCGUAGGAGUCUGGGCCGUGUCUCAGUCCCAGUGUGGCCGUCCACCCUCUCAGUCCGGCUACUGAUCGUCGCCUAGGUGGGCCGUUACCCCGCCUACCAGCUAAUCAGACGCGAGGCCAUCUUCCAGCGAUAAAUCUUUGACAUGUCCGUGAUGCCACGGUCAUGUGUCAUGCGGUAUUAGCAGUCGUUUCCAACUGUUGUCCCCCUCUGGAAGGCAGGUUCCUCACGCGUUA
This 243-nucleotide ribosomal RNA is filed under the name uncultured bacterium. RNAcentral's name for it is "partial 16S ribosomal RNA". The record is from RNAcentral.